Molecule: ribosomal RNA, 333 nt
Filed under: Triticum aestivum (bread wheat)
Lineage: Eukaryota; Viridiplantae; Streptophyta; Magnoliopsida; Poales; Poaceae
Description: partial small subunit ribosomal RNA
Source: RNAcentral
AUGAACUCUAAAUGGGAGGAUCUAUUCCCUUUGGUAUCUGUUCGUAAGUUGGUGAGAGAUACCUCGGAUCACAGUCCACUACUUUUGGUCACAGAACCUAUGAAAACUAGCCCUUCCCAUAAUCGGGAGUUUAGAUUUGAGCUAAGCUGGCUUAAGAAGGAAGAGUUUUAUGCCAAGGCUAAGAGUAUUUGGGAGCAACCUGUGAAUUCCGAGGAUCCCAUUGAUAUCUUGAAUAUCAAACUCAAACGGAUCAAGAAAUACUUCAAAGGAUGGGGGGCUCACUCUUUUGGGCAUGCCAGAAAAAGGAAAAAAAAUGCAUCAAAGAAGAAUUAG